GCCGGGGUGGCGAAACUGGCAGACGCACAGGACUUAAAAUCCUGCGGUGGUAACACACCGUACCGGUUCGAUUCCGGUCCUCGGCACCA
This 89-nucleotide transfer RNA is filed under the name Ezakiella coagulans. RNAcentral's name for it is "tRNA-Leu". It matches the Rfam family "tRNA". Rfam says of the family: Transfer RNA (tRNA) molecules are approximately 80 nucleotides in length. The record is from RNAcentral. Lineage: Bacteria; Bacillati; Bacillota; Tissierellia. RNAcentral also lists the same sequence under 1 other name.